This 306-nucleotide ribosomal RNA is filed under the name uncultured Xanthomonas sp. RNAcentral describes it as "bacterial SSU rRNA". It matches the Rfam family "Bacterial small subunit ribosomal RNA", at positions 30 to 332 of the family's 1533-position model. Lineage: Bacteria; Pseudomonadati; Pseudomonadota; Gammaproteobacteria; Lysobacterales; Lysobacteraceae. The record is from RNAcentral.
CGAACGCUGGCGGCAGGCCUAACACAUGCAAGUCGAACGGCAGCACAGAGGAGCUUGCUCCUUGGGUGGCGAGUGGCGGACGGGUGAGGAAUACAUCGGAAUCUGCCUAUUUGUGGGGGAUAACGUAGGGAAACUUACGCUAAUACCGCAUACGACCUACGGGUGAAAGCGGAGGACCUUCGGGCUUCGCGCAGAUAGAUGAGCCGAUGUCGGAUUAGCUAGUUGGCGGGGUAAAGGCCCACCAAGGCGACGAUCCGUAGCUGGUCUGAGAGGAUGAUCAGCCACACUGGAACUGAGACACGGUCC